GUAACAAGGUUUCCGUAGGUGAACCUGCGGAAGGAUCAUUACCGAGUGAGGGCCCUCUGGGUCCAACCUCCCACCCGUGUUUAUUUUACCUUGUUGCUUCGGCGGGCCCGCCUUAACUGGCCGCCGGGGGGCUUACGCCCCCGGGCCCGCGCCCGCCGAAGACACCCUCGAACUCUGUCUGAAGAUUGUAGUCUGAGUGAAAAUAUAAAUUAUUUAAAACUUUCAACAACGGAUCUCUUGGUUCCGGCAUCGAUGAAGAACGCAGCGAAAUGCGAUACGUAAUGUGAAUUGCAAAUUCAGUGAAUCAUCGAGUCUUUGAACGCACAUUGCGCCCCCUGGUAUUCCGGGGGGCAUGCCUGUCCGAGCGUCAUUUCUGCCCUCAAGCACGGCUUGUGUGUUGGGCCCCGUCCUCCGAUCCCGGGGGACGGGCCCGAAAGGCAGCGGCGGCACCGCGUCCGGUCCUCGAGCGUAUGGGGCUUUGUCACCCGCUCUGUAGGCCCGGCCGGCGCUUGCCGAUCAACCCAAAUUUUUAUCCAGGUUGACCUCGGAUCAGGUAGGGAUACCCGCUGAACUUAAGCAUAUCA
RNAcentral lists this unclassified non-coding RNA (584 nucleotides) under Penicillium rubens. Its description in RNAcentral is "sequence contains 18S rRNA gene, ITS1, 5.8S rRNA gene, ITS2, 28S rRNA gene". The stretch from base 218 to 370 matches the Rfam family "5.8S ribosomal RNA". The record is from RNAcentral. Lineage: Eukaryota; Fungi; Ascomycota; Eurotiomycetes; Eurotiales; Aspergillaceae.